Molecule: ribosomal RNA, 506 nt
Filed under: uncultured bacterium
Lineage: Bacteria
Description: partial 16S ribosomal RNA
Rfam family: Bacterial small subunit ribosomal RNA
Source: RNAcentral
AUUGAACGCUGGCGGCAGGCCUAACACAUGCAAGUCGGACGGUAGCACAGAGGAGCUUGCUCCUUGGGUGACGAGUGGCGGACGGGUGAGUAAUGUCUGGGGAUCUGCCCGAUAGAGGGGGAUAACCACUGGAAACGGUGGCUAAUACCGCAUAACGUCGCAAGACCAAAGAGGGGGACCUUCGGGCCUCCCACUAUCGGAUGAAACCAGAUGGGGUUAGCUAGUAGGCGGGGUAAUGGCCCACCUAGGCGACGAUCCCUAGCUGGGCUGAGAGGAUGACCAGCCACACUGGAACUGAGACACGGUCCAGACUCCUACGGGAGGCAGCAGUGGGGAAUAUUGCACAAUGGGCGCAAGCCUGAUGCAGCCAUGCCGCGUGUAUGAAGAAGGCCUUCGGGUUGUAAAGUACUUUCAGCGGGGAGGAAGGCGAUGCGGUUAAUAACCGCGUCGAUUGACGUUACCCGCAGAAGAAGCACCGGCUAACUCCGUGCCAGCCGCCGCCGUAA